RNAcentral lists this long non-coding RNA (454 nucleotides) under Castor canadensis (American beaver). Its description in RNAcentral is "lncRNA (ENSCCNG00000024316.1)". The record is from RNAcentral. Lineage: Eukaryota; Metazoa; Chordata; Mammalia; Rodentia; Castoridae.
UCCCCAUUUUGUUCCACAACCACCUACACCAAGUUAUCUCUGCAUUUAAAGGCUUUGCUCAGCCACCCCUCCCUGAGACAUUUCUGGCUUAGGUACUGAGCAUCUUACUACUAUAAUGCUUUCCUCCCCUAAUAGUGGAUUUCCAUAUUAGUCCAGAUUGCAUGCUUUUCUUUGACAGUAACAAUGCCAUGACUUGGAGGGAAUGCUCACAGCCCCUCAGGCAACUGCUGUUUUCACUCCAUCUGAUUGGAAUCUUUGCGCCUGUUCCUGCUGGGGGACAUCAGAAUCCACAAAAUCCACAAUGAUCCUUCCUGAGACCAUGGCUUGCCUUGUCUGGGCCCAGCUUCUGAAGAAUCACUAUGAUUUUGCUAUAGAUUGUAAAGACCCAUCAUCGCAGCAGGCUGUGCAUGAGCUAUAUUUUCCUCUGGACAGAGUUCCAGCUGAGACCCUAUAA